AACGAACGCUGGCGGCAUGCCUAACACAUGCAAGUCGAACGAUGCUUUCGGGCAUAGUGGCGCACGGGUGCGUAACGCGUGGGAAUCUGCCCUUGGGUUCGGAAUAACAGUGAGAAAUUGCUGCUAAUACCGGAUGAUGUCUUCGGACCAAAGAUUUAUCGCCCAGGGAUGAGCCCGCGUAGGAUUAGCUAGUUGGUGGGUUAAUGGCCUACCAAGGCGACGAUCCUUAGCUGGUCUGAGAGGAUGAUCAGCCACACUGGGACUGAGACACGGCCCAGACUCCUACGGGAGGCAGCAGUGGGGAAUAUUGGACAAUGGGCGCAAGCCUGAUCCAGCAAUGCCGCGUGAGUGAUGAAGGCCUUAGGGUUGUAAAGCUCUUUUACCCGGGAUGAUAAUGACAGUACCGGGAGAAUAAGCUCCGGCUAACUCCGUG
Molecule: ribosomal RNA, 433 nt
Filed under: uncultured bacterium
Lineage: Bacteria
Description: partial 16S ribosomal RNA
Rfam family: Bacterial small subunit ribosomal RNA
Source: RNAcentral